AAAAGUGCUAAUCUUGUUAGGCAAGAAUUGCUUCGAGAAUCGUUCAUCCAGUGACCAAAAAAGCCGAAUAUCAGGAAUACCGUACAAAAUCAUUGCGAGACGUUCAAGACCAAUUCCAAAAGCCCAACCAAUGUAGUUAUUUAAUCCUGCACCUUUAAGCAGCCUAUCCUGGACGACCCCACAUCCUAAUAUUUCAAGCCAUUUUCCUUUCCAGUCAAUUUCUAACUGAAACGAGGGCUUGGUAAAGGGGAAACUGUCGUACGUCCAACGAUACCGAACCUGUUCAGCUCCGGAAGAAAUAGAAGGAGCAAGU
Schizosaccharomyces pombe (fission yeast) is the source of this 313-nucleotide non-coding RNA. The record is from the annotation of a GenBank genome assembly. Lineage: Eukaryota; Fungi; Ascomycota; Schizosaccharomycetes; Schizosaccharomycetales; Schizosaccharomycetaceae.